Molecule: long non-coding RNA, 391 nt
Organism: Agrilus planipennis (emerald ash borer)
Lineage: Eukaryota; Metazoa; Arthropoda; Insecta; Coleoptera; Buprestidae
Exons: 3
Source: RefSeq, a predicted model, not a curated record
GCCAAUUGAGUCUUUUCAAAUAGAAUGUACAGAAACUGAAGUCUCAUAAUAUAUAAAAUUAUAAGAAAAUAAUGGGUGGUUCGAUAUUUUAUUAUAGACAAUAUUAUGUUAUAUAUGCGACUCCACGCACAAUGUUUUAGCAAGUGUUCUCUAACGAAAAUUGUCAACAAAAUUAUUACAUGCUGUUAAUAUUAGUUGUACUAUAUUUUCUCACCUAGAUUAGCUGCAGAAUGUAACUUUCUAAAGUUCACAUGUGCGAAAGGCAAAUUAAAUCCAGAAUGAAAGGAUUUGGAUUAAUCCAACAUGUUUAGAAAAGUCGUUGUUGGUAUUUCUGGUGGUGUUGAUAGCGCAGUUGCAACUCUUAUAUUAAAAAACAAAGGAUUUAAUGUAU